This is a long non-coding RNA of Lagopus muta (rock ptarmigan), 427 nucleotides long. RefSeq lists it as uncharacterized. The transcript has 3 exons. NCBI's taxonomy places the organism in Eukaryota, Metazoa, Chordata, Aves, Galliformes, Phasianidae. The record is from RefSeq and is a predicted model, not a curated record.
CCUCCUCUGGAGUUUUGCACCAAGCCUAGGAUAUGGCCAUUUAAGAUGCCAGACUCAAGAUUUCCUGCUGCAGAACACUUCUCUCUCCUUUCUAAUAAUGUGUUUCCCAACUGUUCCUGAAUGGGACACCUUGGAGACUGCUGGCACAGCUGGUUUACAUUUCCUUGGGGCUUUGAACCAGGGCAAGACAUGCAAGUUUUGGAAAGCGUGGAUGUCCAACCCUUUGGCUUGUCUAGGCCAAAAUGAGUAAAGAGGAAUAGUAUUGAGCUGCACAUACACACGUUGUUCAGAAAGAAAUGCCUCCUAUUUAUUUCCGUGGGCUCUGCGCACAUUCAGCAAGAGUCGAUGAAUGUGAAUGGGCGCCUUAUUUUUCUGCAUGGAGAAAUUCAAUUCCACACUUUUGCUCCAUCCACGUUUCCAUGUCAGA